UAGGGAAUAUUGGACAAUGGGUGAGAGCCUGAUCCAGCCAUGCCGCGUGCAGGAAGAAGGCGUUAUGCGUUGUAAACUGCUUUUUGCCAGGGGAUAAAAAGACCGUGCGCAGUUAAUUGAAGGUACCUGGUGAAUAAGCCACGGCUAACUACGUGCCAGCAGCCGCGGUAAUACGUAGGUGGCAAGCGUUGUCCGGAUUUAUUGGGCGUAAAGGGUGCGUAGGUUGUUUGAUAAGAUAUAUGUGAAAUACCUGGGCUCAACCUGGGAAGGUCAUAUAAGACUGUCAGACUCGAGUGUGUCAGAGGGAGGUGGAAUUCCGCGUGUAGCAGUGAAAUGCGUAGAUAUGCGGAGGAACACCGAUGGCGAAGGCAGCCUCCUGGGAUAACACUGACGCUCAUGCACGAAAGCGUGGGGAGCAAACAGGAUUAGAUACCCAGGUAGUCCCUGAGCGGGCUGGCAAGGCGCAU
This 467-nucleotide ribosomal RNA is filed under the name uncultured bacterium. Its description in RNAcentral is "bacterial SSU rRNA". It matches the Rfam family "Bacterial small subunit ribosomal RNA", at positions 355 to 825 of the family's 1533-position model. The record is from RNAcentral.